Long non-coding RNA from Acinonyx jubatus (cheetah), 9198 nucleotides. RefSeq lists it as uncharacterized. The transcript has 9 exons. NCBI's taxonomy places the organism in Eukaryota, Metazoa, Chordata, Mammalia, Carnivora, Felidae. The record is from RefSeq and is a predicted model, not a curated record.
GGAGACAGAAUCUGAAGCAGUCUCUAGGCUCUGACCUGUCAGCACAGAGCCCAACGCGGGGCUUGAACUCAUGAACUGUGAUAUCAGGACUUCAGCCAGAGUUGGAUGCCCAACCAAUGGAGUUACCCAGGCGCCCCUGAUCCUUUGUAUUUCUGUGCUGGGGGUUGUCAUAUCUCUUAUUUCUGAUUUUGAGUAUUUUCUUCCUGAGUCUAGAUCAAGUUUUGUCAACUUUAUCUUGUCAAAACACCAGCUCUUAGUUUCAUUGAUCUUUUUUUAUUUUUUCUGAUACCUAUUUAUCUCCACUCCAGUCUUCUGCUAUUUCCUUCCUUAUGAUAGACUUGGCCCAGCUUUUUCUUCUUUGCCUCAUUCCUUCAGGUAUAAAAUUAGGCUAGUCAUUUGACAUCUAUUUUUUUUUACGUAUUUUUUAAUGUUUUAUUUUUGAGAGAGAGCACGAGUCAGGGAGAGGCAGAGAGAGAGGGAGACGCAGAACCUGAAGCAGGCUCCAGGCUCUGCGCUCUCAGCACAGAGCCCAACACAGGGCUCAAAGAUCAUGACCCAAGUCCAAGUUGGAUGCUUAACUGAUUGAGCCACCCAGACGCCCCAAGAUCUAUUUUUCAAAUACAUGCAUUUAUCACUAAAACUUCCCUGCAGGACUGCUUUUGCAGCUUCCCAACGGUUUUAUUGUAUUAUGAUCCAUUUCCAGUUGUUUCAAGAUUUUAAAAUUUUUUUGGUUUCUUUCUCUUUUUUUUUAAUGUUUAUUUAAGAGGGAGAAAGCAUGAGCAGGGAAGGGGCAGAGAGAGAGAGGAUAUCCCAGUCAGGCUGCAUGCUAUCAGCGCAGAGCCCAAAAGCGGGGCUCAAAGUAACAAACCAUGAGAUCAUGACCUGAGCCGAAAUCAAGAGUCGGACACUUAACCAACGGAGCUACCCAGGCACCCCUUUUGUUUAGAUUUCUUAUUUGACCCAUUGGUUGUUCGGGAAUAUUUUGUUUGGUCUCCACAUGUUUAUAAAUAUUCCACCUUCCCUCCUGUUACUGAUUUCUAGUUUUGUAACACUGUGGUUGGAAAAUAGAGUUGGUGUGAUUUCAGUCUUCGUAAAUUUGCUAAGACUUGUUUUGCAGCCUGUCAUAUGACCUGCCCUGGAGAAUGUUCUGUGUGUAUUUGAGAAAAAUGUGCAUUCUGCUGCUGUAGCUAGAAUGUUCUAUAAAUGUCCAUUAGGUCCAUUUGGUCUAAUGUAUGGUUCAAGUCCAAUGUCUCCUUGUUGAUUUUCUGUCUGGAUGAUCUAUAUCCAUGGCCGAAAGUGGGCUAUUAGAGUCUAUUACUAUUGUGUUGUCUUUUUUCCCCUUUCAGAUCUGUUAGCAUUUGUUUAAUACAUGUAGGUGCUCCAGUAAUAAGUGCAUAUAUAUAAUUGUUACAUCUUCUUAAUGAGUUGAUCCCCUUAUCCUUAUGUAAUGAGUUUUGUUGUGUUUUACUGUUGGGGGCUUAAAGUUUAUUUCAUCUGACGUGAGUAGAGCUGCCCUCUCGUCUUGUGGCUUCCACUUCAUGGAAGAGCCCCCUCUUUCCUUCACUUCGAGCCUCUGUGUGUCCUUAAGGCAGGAGCGAGUCUCUUGUGGGUAGCAUGUAGUUGGGUCUUGUUUGUUUUUAAUUCAGCCACCCUGUGCCAAUUCAUUGAAGAAUUCAACCCAUUUACAUUUUGAAUAACCUUUGACAGGUAAGGAUUUUCCUGUGCCAUCUUACUGUUUUCCAGCUGUGUGUGGUUCCAUAGUUCCUUUUCUUCCUGUCUUCUUCCCCACCUUUGUGGACUGGGGAUACUCCAUGGUGGGGUUCCCUUGUCUUUAUCUUUGUGAAGCUCCACUAGGUUUUUGCUUUAUGAUUACAUGAGGCUUACAUAAAACACCUAGUAGAUAAACUGGUCAACUUACACCGGUAGGGACACCUCUGCCCUUUUGCUCCCUCUUUUUAUAUUACUGUCACAUUUUUUUACAUUAAUGUCAUGGUUUACCUCUUUUUGUUUUGAGAAAAAGCAUGUGAGCAGGGGGAGGGGCAGAGGGGGAGAGAGAGAAUCCUAAGCAGGCUCGCACGGGGCUCAGUCCCACAACCAUGGCAUCAUGACCUGAGCCGAAACCAGGAAUCGGAUGCUCAACUGAGUCACCCAGAUGCCCCGUUUACUUCUUUGUGUAUUGUGUAUUAAUUAACAAAUUACAGUAGGUGUAAUUAUUUUUGAUACUUUCGUCCUUUAGCCUUUAUUAACACACUAUCCAAUUACAGAAUUAGAGUUUUCUUCAUCCGACUGUAUAUUUACCAUUUCCAGUGUGUUCCAUAUGUUUGUAUGUUUUUGUGUCACUGAUGAGCAUCCCUUCACCUCGGCUGCAAGAAUUCCUUUCAGCAUUUCUCGUAAGGAGGGUCCAGUGUGAUGAACUCUUCCAGCUUUUGUUUGUCUGGGAACUUUUUAUUUUUUUGCCUUCAUUUCCGAAGGACAGCUUCACUGGAUAGUGUAUUCUUGGCUGGCCUUUUUUUUCUUUCAGCACUGUGAAUGUGUCAUCCACCCUCUCCUGGUCGGUAAGGUUUCUGCUGAGAAAUCCACAGAUCUCCAGUCUGGGUUCCUUUUUAGAUUACUCUUUUUUCCUCUUGUGCUUUCAGGAUUCUACCUUCGAUUUCUGACAGCUUCAUUAUAAUGUGUUUUGGGAGAGAUUGCUUUGCCUUGAAAUAAUGAGAUGAUCUGUUAAUUUCAUGAACUUGAAUGUCCAAGUCUCUUUGCAGGUCUGGGAAGUUCUCAGACAUGAGAUCUCCAAAUAGACCUCCAUCCCCCUUCUUCCUCUCUUGUCCUUCUGGAACCCCAGCGAUACCGGUGGCUCUUUUGAUGGUGUUCCACAGAUGACAUAUGCGCUUAGCUUCUUUUCUUUGUUCUCUGGGCUGUUUCAAAGCUCCUGUCCUAUAUUCACUGAUGGCUUUCUUCUUUCUGGUCUGUUCUGGUGAUAAUACCCUCUCUUUCACCCCUCAUUUCAUUCACUGACUUCUUCAGCUCCAGAAUUUGUUUAGUUCUUUCUCAUGAUUCUCUUUGUUAAAUUUCUCUUUCUGUGUAUGUGUGCUUUUCCUGAUUUCAUUGAAUUUCUUUGUGUUUACUUGUAGCUCAUUAGCUUCCUCAAAAGAGCUAUGUUGAAUUCUUUGUCAUGUAAGUCACAGAUGUCCUCCCUGUCUUUGGGAUCAGUUACUGGAAGAUAAAUGAGGGAUCUUUUGGUGAUGUCAUGUUUCCUUGGUUCUUUAUCUUCCUUUGAGUUUUGUGUUGCUGCUUUCACAUUGAUGUAGCAGUCACCCCUCCGAUCUUUACCAGCUGCCUUCAGUUGGGAGGCACUUUUUGAUGGCCCCGCUAUACAGAUUCUGUGGCUUUCUCCAACCUCCCAUGGAUACACCCGCUCCAUGCUUCCUGAUCCCUCUUGUGGCAGAAUUCCUAAGCUUGUAGGUCUUCCUCUGAUCUUACAACACACCAGACCAACUGUUAGAAACCUCUCUUUUGCUUUAUUGAAGGUGGUGUUACGGCUCAGGACUGCACUUUCCCCCACGCGCUGGCCUGUUUUCCGUGGGUGCUCCCCGUCUACCCGAGCUUGUCUCCUGCUGCCCUGGGAGUGCACACAGGGUGGGGUGGGCGGUGUGAGUUUUGACACUCAGGUGUUGAGGGUGCCCACAGUGCAGUGGAGGGCUCCGAAGAUGAGGUUUUCCCAGGGGCUGUGACAGGCUCUGUGUUGGAGUCCAGAAUGCAGUCAACAGAAACGGCAUCCCUUUAAGGCUCUCUGAUACUAUGACCUCAUCCCUGAUCUCCUUCCUCCAAUCACAAAGCCCCUUUAACGCCCUGGGCAUUGCAAGAGAAAAAUGCGUUUCUUUAGCAGCCUCCUGCAUAGCGGGGGAAGCGAGGCUGUCACCACUGGCCCUUUCCCCUGCAGGAGAGAUGCCACCCGUGUCUCUGAGUUCUGCCACCUUGGGGGAGGGGUGCUGCUGUAAUGUUUUCUUUCCAACAGAAUGCUGAAACUUCUCUAGAAACCUGGGUUGCUACAAAGGCUAUCUCGCCCAUAGGUGGUCUGCCCACGUCAGCAUUAUCCAGCCGCCCCCAGACUGCAGCUGAGAGGGACCAGAGCCGGCUCACAGGGUCCCACCAGUGACAAAGCCUGUACCAUGGUCUGCCUGCCCAUCGCCGAAAGCAUGGUGGUGAGACCCUCCCAGGCAACCUGCGUCAGGUGCUGGAUCACACGGCUCCCACGGACGCACAUAAGUUUGGAGAUGGAAGCUGAAUUUUAGUUAUUGAAGGAAAUACCUUUUUUUAUGUGUAUUUUUUAGAGACCUGGAGUGCAAGUGGGGGAGGGGCAGAGAGAGGGAGACACAGAACCCGAAGCAGGCUGCAGGCUCCGAGCCGUCAGCACAGAGCCUGACGUGGGGCUCGAGCUCACAAACCGUGAGAUCAUGACCUGAGUCGAAGUCGGACGCUUAACCGACCGAGCCAUCUAGGCGCCCCAGUUGUUAAAGGAGCUUAUUGGCAGCUGCCGCAAUGCUGUCGUCACUCUGAUGGACGCUAAUUAAGCUCGCACUAAUCAUUCUGCAAUAUAUGGGCUUCACAUCGUCACCGUACGCCUUAAACUUAGAUUUAAUGUGUCAGUUACGUCUCAAAGUUGGAAAAAGCAAUUUGAACCGGGCUCUUUAAUUCCCAGGUACGUAUAUCUGAGCCGGGAGUCUCCCUUAGGCCCCAAGUGUGUCCAUACUAAUCUGCGGGCUCCCUCCCCAGGUGUGUCCACCCUCGCAUGGCAGGCAGCCUCCCUAACUCAGUGCCUCUUCUGGGAAGUGGACCGCUCUCUCCAGGUGUGUCUCCGACCGGGAAUAUUUCCCCAGCACUCGAGGUGCUCUUGCCCCGAACAGCAGUGUCUAAUUCCCCAGAUGUGUCUCCUUGGACACAAAGAGUCUUGCUAAGUGUACAGGUAGGUCUCCGUGAACCUAGGGCGUCCCCUCUGAGUCGAAGUGAUUCGUUGUCCUCCGGGCGUAUCUACAGCGACCUGAGGUCCACACACUGACAUGGCAUGUUUCCCUAAUUUCCCAGGUGUGUCUCCUCUGCCCUGGAUACUUCUCUCUCUGAGCUUAUUUACCCCAAGGGGAAACCGCCUAGCUCCCCGGGUUUAUCUAAUCUGUGACCUGCUGAUAAUGCAGACGUGCCUAUCCUUACAUAAGAUGUCUCCCUAAUACCCCAAGUAGGUCUACACACCGUUAGGAUGUCUCCUUAAAUCCCAGUGUGUUUUCUCUGGCAACCCUGGAUGUCUCUGUAAUUGUCCAGGUACAUCUCCAUUGAACUGGGAUGUCUCCCUUCUAGCCAGAUGCCUGCUCUACCUGGGACACCCUAACUCCCCAGGCAUGUAUUGAAGGACCCGGGGGGCCGCCCUAUUUCCCCAGGUGUGUGCCACAGCCUGAUUCCAAUUUCCCAGGUAUGUGUCCCCUGACCCGGGACAUCUCUUUACUUCCGUCGAUCUGUCCACCCAGACGUGGGAUGUGUGCCUAACUCGAGUGUGUCUGCUCUGAACUGGGAUGUCUACCUACUUCCAUAGUGGAGUCUGUUUUGAUCUUGAUGUUUCCUUAAUUCUGCAUUAUGUGUCUAACUUGACCUGGAUGUCUCCGCAAUUCCCCUUUUGUGUCUUCACCGAACUAGAUUUCUAAUGCCCCAGGUUUAUCUACCCAGACAUGAAAUGCUGCCACCGAUUCCCAGGUGUUUUUCCUCUGACCUAGGAUAUGUUCCUUACUCUCCAGGUUGGCUUUCCCUUACCGGGAUGUCUCCCUAGUCCCCACGUGUACGUGCUCACACCUGGGCUCUCUCUUACUUCCCGAGUGCACACACUGAUCUGUCUGCCGAAUUCCAUAGGUGUUGACCCUGACCUGAGACGUUUCUCUUAUUCCAUGGAUGUGUUUUCUGUCUUGCGAUUUCUUGCUAAUUCCCUGAUGUGUUUACCAUGACUUAGGAUGUUUCUCUAAUUACCCAGAUGCUUCUACUCUGACCUGAGUGUCUCCCUAAUCCCCAGAUAUGAAUACUCUGACUUCCAAUGUCUCAAAAUAACCCAGAGUUCUACCCUGACCUGGGAUGUCCUGCUAGUUCCCCGGAGUCAGAAGAUAAUUCUCCAAAUGUGCCAACGGUCAAGUGGAAUGCUUCUUAUUCCCCAUGGGAAUGGGAUGCACUGACAUGGGAUGUCUCAUUAGAACCCCAAGGAACUCAGACUAUGAGAUCAUGACCUGUGCCGAAUUCGGAUGCCGAACGAGCUGACCCACUCAGGCGCCCCGGUUGUUAAAGGAGGGAAGUCUCGGAGCAGGUCGGGUACCUUGUGCGGAGCAGGUGAGAGCUGAUUGGCUGACCUAGGCCUUCCUCUUCAGGGAGAGCAGAGCAUAGAAACUUCUCCAGGUUUGACUGCCCUGACGUUGGAAGUCUGCCAAUUUUCCCGUGGGUCUACACUGAUCAAGGAUAUUCCCCUAAAUCUCUAGGUAUGUCUACUCUGACCUGGGAGGUGACCCUUAUUCUGUAUGUACCCUGAUCAAUGAGGUCUUUGAAAUACAGAGACCUGUGGGGUUUCUCUAAUUCUCUGAGUGUGCCUACUCUGGUACGCAUUCAGAGAUGUAUCCCUAAUCCUGUGUGUGAACCCUGAAAGGUGGUGUCCCCCAAUCACCCAGGGGUGCCCUCCCUGAUUUUAUCUCUCUCUUUAAUAACCAGAAGUGUCUUCUCUGACCUGAGAUAUACCUUAUCAUCAAUUGUGACUGACCUGGGAUGUGUCCCUAAUUCACCACGUGUGUCUUCAGUGACAUUGGAUAGCCCCCUAACUCCCCAGGUGUUUCUACCCUGACCUGAAAUGUUUUCUUUGUUCUCCAAGUGUGUCUACCCUAAACUCGUAUUAUCUCUGAAAAUUCCUGUAUCUUCUCUGACCUGGUCCAUCCCCUUAGAGCCCAGUUGUGUCCACAUGGGCACGAGUGAAUCUCUAAUCCCAGAUGUUUCUGUCGUGACCUGGUUUGUCUCGCUCUUUAGGUGUUGACCUGGGAUGUGUAAUUCCUCCUCCGUGUGUCCACUGACUUGAGAGGUCUCGUGUUUAUUGGUACCACUCUGGAAGUCCCCUCUCUGCUCUGUUGUAUUCUGACGCAGCACGUCUGCUUACUUCCCCAAGUCCACCCACCCUGACCUUCAGGGUCUCCACGACUCCUGAGAUGUUAUCUCAGCUCACCUGGACCGCUGACUAGUUCCCCAGAUGUGUCUACAAAAAGCGGUAUUUUAUUGUAAUAUACCAGUUAUGUCUACGCUGACCUGAGCGGUCUUAAUUCCCCAAGUGUGUCAACACUAACCUAGUAUGAUUCCAUAGAUUCCCAGCUGUGUCUGCCUCGACAUUGGAUGUCUCCACUUGACCUGCUGUGACUACCUAGUAUCUCAGGCAUGUCCACUCUGACCCGGAACAUCUAACACCUCAGGUGUGGCCACUUUGCCCUGGAGCCUCCCUGGUUCCCCAGUUGUGCCUGCCGUAAUCUGAGACGUCAAACUCAGACGUGUCUACUCAUACCUGGGAUGUCUAAUCCACAGAUGUGUCCACGCUGAACAGGGAUGGCUUCCUAAAACCCCAGCUGUGUCUAUCCUGACCCGGGAUGUGUCCCAAAUUUUCAAGGAGUGUCUGCUCUGAGCUGGGAUGUCUCAUUCUCCAGAUUUCUCUCUCUGGACCUUGAACGUCUCCAUUCUUCAGGACUGUCCAGCGUAUCCUGGGACGUAUGCCUUUGUCCUUCGCCGUGUCUACUGUGAAUCUGGAGGUCUCGUUCCUCAGGUGUUCUGAUCUGUGAUGUCUCUAAGUCCCCAGGCGUGUCUGCAUUGAUUACAGUGACCCUUUAAUGCACCAGGUAUGUCUACCCUUACCGGGAUAUCUGUUUAAUAACUCAGAUGUGUCUACACAGAUGGGGCAUGUCUACUUUCUUACAAAAGGUCUUGAAUUCUCUGGCUCUGUCUACUCUGACCCGGAAUGUCUCCCUGUUUACCCUGCUGUAUGUCAGCCAAACCUCGAUGCCUCCUUAAUAAUCAGCUGUGUGAACAUGUACCUGCAUAGCUUUUCCCCUGCUCUUAUCUGAACUCUACCCAGGAGGGUCUGCACUUGAGGAUGUCUACCUAAUUUCCCAUGUGGCUCUUCUGACCUUUGUUGUAACCUUAUUCUCUGCUAUGUCCACACUCACAUGGGGUGUCUUCAUAAUUCUCAAGAUGAGUUAAGUAUUUCUCAGGAUGGUCCCUACAUCCCCGGUCUGCCUCCCCUGACCUAGAAUUUCUCUCGAAGCCCCAACAUUACUCCUCCUACUCCCCUCAUGUGUCUACUUGACCAGUAAUGUCUCCCUGCAACACAGAUGUGUCUACUCUGACCUCGUGGAUCUGCCUAACUCCCCUGGUGUGUCUAUACUGAUGGGAUGUCUAAUUCUCAAAGUGCUUCUAUACUAAUCUGGGAUUUUGACCUGAUUCCCUUGGUGGGUCUAUCUACUGAAGAAUACCUACAGUUACAUAAGAAUCUGUUACCACUUUUACAUUGUGGGUUUUUAAUGUUUAUUUUGUGUGCACACAGGCAGGGCAGCAGGGGUGGGGGGCGGGCAGAGAGACUCCCAAGCAGGCUCCAUGCUGUCAGCACAGAGCCCAACGCCGGGCUCGAUCCCAUGACCCUGGGAUCAUGACCCAAGCUGAAAUCCAGAGUCAGACGUUCAAUAGGCUGAGCCACCCAGGCGCCCCGUCAUGUUGUGCCUACAUACGUAACUCAGAAAAAAAAUUAAAACCCAAUUGCACAUUAUAAAAAACAAUGCAGAUUGACUUGUAAAAGUAAAAACAAUCUCAUUAUAACCAAUUUGAUCUUUCCAGGUGGUUAAACUUGGGCAAAUGGGAAUCUUGGAUUUGGGGUAUUUUCCAGACAUUUGAUAUUAUCCUCCUGUUUCUUGUGUUAAUACCCGUUAUUGUGUAUCUUUUCCAGAGUCUUCAGUAAACACUAAUCGUGAUCUCCAUGCGAGCUGAAGAACCUAAUGAGAUUCUGGUUCACGAUCUUCAGUGUCCAAAGAAGGGUCACAUGAUGCUAAACAGUCAGCCACUCUCCGUUCAACAGGGAGAGUGAUCGACGGGAAGGGACUGGACUGGUUUUUAUGUUAAUGUUUAUUUUUAAGAGAGGUGCAGAGAGAGAGGAGGACAGAG